AGCACUGUGUGGUAUCUGCAGCCAGCUGCUCAAUGAGCUGGUUUGUUCAAAAGCCAGUGCAAGACCAAGUCAACACUUGGCAUCGUUGGUCUCCAUGCUGCAUGUGUUUGGAGUCCUGGUAUUUUUGUUGAGACAUUU
Molecule: small nucleolar RNA, 138 nt
Organism: Cynoglossus semilaevis (tongue sole)
Lineage: Eukaryota; Metazoa; Chordata; Actinopteri; Pleuronectiformes; Cynoglossidae
Product: small nucleolar RNA SNORA8
Source: Ensembl